This 429-nucleotide ribosomal RNA is filed under the name Verrucomicrobiota bacterium. RNAcentral's name for it is "Verrucomicrobia bacterium partial 16S ribosomal RNA". It matches the Rfam family "Bacterial small subunit ribosomal RNA", at positions 355 to 776 of the family's 1533-position model. Lineage: Bacteria; Pseudomonadati; Verrucomicrobiota. The record is from RNAcentral.
UAGGGAAUCUUCCGCAAUGGACGAAAGUCUGACGGAGCAACGCCACGUGAGUGAAGAAGGAUUUCGGUUCGUAAAACUCUGUUGUUAGGGAAGAAAAAAUGUAUAGUAACUAUAUACAAAAGAGACGGUACCUAACCAGAAAGCCACGGCUAACUACGUGCCAGCAGCCGCGGUAAUACGUAGGUGGCAAGCGUUGUCCGGAAUUAUUGGGCGUAAAGCGCGCGCAGGUGGUUUAGAAAGUCUGAUGUGAAAGCCCACGGCUCAACCGUGGAGGGUCAUUGGAAACUAAUAAACUUGAGUGCAGGAGAGAAAAGUGGAAUUCCUAGUGUAGCGGUGAAAUGCGUAGAGAUUAGGAGGAACACCGGUGGCGAAAGCGGCUUUUUGGCCUGCAACUGACACUGAGGCGCGAAAGCGUGGGGAGCAAACAGG